This 2988-nucleotide long non-coding RNA is filed under the name Vigna radiata. Its description in RNAcentral is "long non-coding RNA (VRAD_LNC007321)". Lineage: Eukaryota; Viridiplantae; Streptophyta; Magnoliopsida; Fabales; Fabaceae. The record is from RNAcentral.
GGGGAAGAAUGGAAUGAACUUUAGCCGUACGUGUUUUGUGAAGCCAGUCUCAAAUAUAUUUGCUGAGUCCUAAGAAUACACUUCUCAAGCAAAUAUUAAUUUUAAGGACAAGUAAAUAAUCUAGAUGACCAAGUUAUUUAAGAGGAAAAGUUGCAUAAAGUUUUGUUGCACUUUGUUGAGUCAGAGGAGAUCAUAUUCUAUUCAUAAAACAUUUUUCUACAAGUAAACUAUUAGGUACCUGGGUUCGGAACCUAACUAUCUCACCACACCCACUCACCCAAAAGCACAGAGAAAGGAAUAAACAAAUGAACUGAAUGUAUUCACAGCAAACAAUGUCAAUUACAAAGAUGAUCCGGGAGCCUAAUCCCCCUCACAAGGUCAAGGACCUGUCUGUACAAAGAAUCUGACUAAAACUCCCCUCUGACAAUAUAACAGAAUCCUAUAUAUACCAUUCCUCUGCACCUAAACCCAUUACCCAUUAUGCCCCUAUCCUCCUAUAACCUAUCACUACACCCCUCUGCAAAACAACCUUGUCCUCAAGGUUAGAACAAUGAAGCUUGAGCCCAUGGCAUUGUGAUAUGGUCUGAUCAUAGGAAGGGAACCCGCUGCUACUACCUGCACUUGAAACACAACCCAAGAGAGCCUCCUCGAGUAGCAGGGGCAAUCUAUCCAAGGUGUUGAAUGAGCCAUUCACUUGGCCAUUGGAGGCAAGUUCAUUUAAUUCACUUUCGAACUCAAAAGUUUCACUAUUUUUUACAUCAUCAGUUUCAUAAUGGGCUGGAAGUAUGCAUAGAUGUACGCCUAGCUCUCCACUGAUUCUCCUUAUAAGUUGGUAUUUACGAAUAAAUUCCAACUACUGAGAUAUUAUGUGAGAUAUUAUGUGGGUUGGGCCUAACAUAAUUUCAUCAUUUUUUUGAAGAGAUUUGUCACUAAUAGGUCCACCGUUAGUCUUCUGAACACCCCUACGACUGGCCUCUUCAUCCCUGAGUGUCAUGCUCUCUAUCCCUCCAACAAGCAUCUCUAAGGACGAAUUCAUUAUAACAUUCUCAAUUGUGAUUCCACGAGCAGUGGCAACAAGCUGAACCCACGUUGUGCAAUUGUGCUUGCAGCCAGUGCUUCAUGUUUUGUACCAAUCUCAUCAAUUACAAUAACUUGUGGCAUGUGAUUUUCAACUGCUUCUAUCGAUACCUGCAACUUCAGAUCCGGGGCUUGGGUGGUGGUCGAAAUAAGAGACCGAAUUUAUGGGACCAUCUUCGUGUCUUCAUUAUUUCUUUGAAGGUAAGUAGCUAAAUAAGUUCUUCUACCAUUCAUUUCCUUCCCCCUUCUUUCAACCGUGCGGCUUGGGUUGGUUUUAUUUUGUUGUUCAUCCCCCAAGCGCACCUGGUACCUUGCCUACGAAAGUGUGGCUCGCACCACUGUCCAUCAAAAUUAAAACUCGUUUCCUCUCAAUUUCUCCUUGCAAUUUCAUCGUUUUGGGUUGCAUCAGGCCCCAACAGAAAACGCAGAUAGCUCUAUCUGCAUCUGAGCUAACUCUGUCUCUAUCGCUGCUCCAUCUUCCUCCUCAUCCUGAGACAUAAUAACAUCUUCAAACAUCUUUCUGGACAUUGAUGACCUGGGCCGAAAGCCCCUCCACACCUGAAACAACUGCCCUCCUCCCUUCGUUUCGCAAACUCUGAGUAGGGUAAAUUCCCAGAAUUUCUCCCUCUGUUAUCGAAGUUUGUCUUCGUAACCCCGCUCGCCUGUAUCACCUCCUUGGGCACCGACCCACUACUCUCAGUUGGCCCCGUUCAGUUUUGGGUUUGUCGACGGGGUUCAACCCACGACACCACCCCGCUCGGCCUACUCCAAUUCGUCAGGUUUCUUCCUACUCCUCCUCCUCCGAUCUUCGCUCCUCCGUGAAGCUCCUCCCCAUCCCGUGUGAUUGGCAUCACGGUCAUCAACUCCUGAGGAUCGAGAAGACCCACCUGGUUGCGUAUCGGUUCUUGCAAUUCUCUCAUGGUCGAUGUUGGGGCAUCUUCUUCCCCGGUUCCCAACUGCUUAUUGGUCACCACCCCUUCAACAGUUGUGCCCCUAUUCCGUUCUCCAAAUCGCCACACCAUUACCCCCUUCAGUCCUUCCUAAGAACGAUUUUUGGCUUUAGCCUUCCAGGCCCGCACCCAAUACCCAGCACUUCCCUCCAUGCUAUUGUAUGCCCGUCGCACUUUUUCUUCCUCUAUCACCCCCUACUUCUCAAAAACUGUCUCCGCCCUAGUAAUCCACCCCAUAGGAUCAAACCCUUCGAAAACGGGUAAAUCUACUCUCUUCUUCCCGCUGGGUUGCACUUCAUGGUGUUCAUCCCCUCUCUCUCCUUCUUCCUCUCGCGGACCCAAUGUUGGUCGUCCUGGUUGUAGCCUCGACCACCCAACAUCCUUAUGAUUUCUUGCAAAUCUUGACGAAUUGCUGCAUAAUCUGAUCGCGGCGCCCCUGUCUACACCUUCAUCCUAUCAACUGCAAUUUCCUUCACCCCCACACGAUUCCAACAGCGUCUCAAUCCUUCAACUUCUGGAAAUGUCAGGUUUUUGAUAACUUCUUGAUCAGGUUCUUGAUUCGGCACCCCUACUGCGAAACGGCAGUUCUCCUGUUUCCGGCAGACUCUUGAUUCGGCAACCCCACUACGAUCUGGUAGGUCAGACCAACUUGUUAGGUACCUAGAUUCGGAACCUAACUAUCUCACCACACCCACUCACCCAAAACCACACAAAAAGGAAUAAACGAAUGAACUGAAUGUAUUUACAGCAAAGAAUGUCAAUUACAAAGAUGAUCCGGUAGCCUAAUCCCCCUCAUAAGGUCAAGGACCUGUCUUACAAAGAAUCUGACUAAACUCCCCUCUAACAAUAUUACAGAGUCCUAUUUAUACCAUUCCUCUGCACCUAAACCCAUUACCCAUUAUGCCCCUAUCCCCCUAUAACCUAUCAUAAACUCACUCUAUUGCUUGUCUAUGUGGAUGAU